This 73-nucleotide transfer RNA is filed under the name Felis catus (domestic cat). It matches the Rfam family "tRNA". Rfam says of the family: Transfer RNA (tRNA) molecules are approximately 80 nucleotides in length. Their secondary structure includes four short double-helical elements and three loops (D, anti-codon, and T loops). Lineage: Eukaryota; Metazoa; Chordata; Mammalia; Carnivora; Felidae. RNAcentral also lists the same sequence under 3 other names. The record is from Rfam by way of RNAcentral.
CCCUGGCUGGCUCAGUCAGUAGAGCACAUGACUCUUGAUUUCAGGGUCGUGGGUUCAAGUCCCACGUUGGGUG